RNAcentral lists this ribosomal RNA (263 nucleotides) under Clostridioides difficile. RNAcentral's name for it is "partial 23S ribosomal RNA". It matches the Rfam family "Bacterial large subunit ribosomal RNA", at positions 2055 to 2316 of the family's 2925-position model. The record is from RNAcentral. Lineage: Bacteria; Bacillati; Bacillota; Clostridia; Peptostreptococcales; Peptostreptococcaceae.
GAAGAUGCCGGAUACCUGCGACAGGACGGAAAGACCCCAUGGAGCUUUACUGUAGCUUGACAUUGGGUCUUGGUACUACAUGUACAGGAUAGGUGGGAGGCUUUGAAACCAGGACGCCAGUUUUGGCGGAGCCAUCCUUGGGAUACCCCCCUUGUAGUACUGGGACUCUAACCAUAGGCCAUGAAUCUGGUCUUGGGACACUGUCAGGUGGGCAGUUUGACUGGGGCGGUCGCCUCCCAAAAGGUAACGGAGGCGCUCAAAGG